This 758-nucleotide ribosomal RNA is filed under the name uncultured Bacteroidales bacterium. Its description in RNAcentral is "bacterial SSU rRNA". It matches the Rfam family "Bacterial small subunit ribosomal RNA", at positions 28 to 776 of the family's 1533-position model. Lineage: Bacteria; Pseudomonadati; Bacteroidota; Bacteroidia; Bacteroidales. The record is from RNAcentral.
GAUGAACGCUAGCUACAGGCUUAACACAUGCAAGUCGUGGGGCAUCAUGAUGUAGUAAUACAUUGAUGGCGACCGGCGCACGGGUGAGUAACGCGUAUCCAACCUACCCUCCACUCAAGUAUAGGCUUCCGAAAGGGAGAUUAAUCCUUGAUAUCGUCAUUCUCUCUCCUGUUAGAAUGAUAAAAGGACAUCGUUUCGGUAGAGGAUGGGGAUGCGUUCCAUUAGGUAGUAGGUGGUUUAACAGGCCACCUAGCCGAUGAUGGAUAGGGGUUCUGAGAGGAAUAUCCCCCACACUGGUACUGAGAUACGGACCAGACUCCUACGGGAGGCAGCAGUGAGGAAUAUUGGUCAAUGGGCGCAAGCCUGAACCAGCCAUGUAGCGUGAAGGAUGACGGUUUUUUUGAUUGUAAACUUCUUUUCUGUGCGAUUAAAGUGUGGCAUUUAUGCCAUAUUGCAGUUAUCUCAGGAAUAAGCAUCGGCUAACUCCGUGCCAGCAGCCGCGGUAAUACGGAGGAUGCGAGCGUUAUCCGGAUUUAUUGGGUUUAAAGGGAGCGUAGAUGGUUUUUUAAGUCAGCUGUCAAAUGUAUGGGCUCAACCCUUAUUAUCAGUUGAAACUGUAAGACUUGAGUGCGGUGUGGGUACAUGGAAUUCGUGGUGUAGCGGUGAAAUGCAUAGAUAUCACGAAGAACUCCGAAAGCGUAGGCAUUGUACCAUAGCGCCACUGACAUUGAUGCUCGAAGGUGCGGGAAUCAAACAGG